RNAcentral lists this long non-coding RNA (1291 nucleotides) under Equus asinus (donkey). RNAcentral describes it as "lncRNA (ENSEASG00005025269.1)". The record is from RNAcentral. Lineage: Eukaryota; Metazoa; Chordata; Mammalia; Perissodactyla; Equidae.
UUCAUGUUGGACAACGCCAGGCCUGUGUAAUAAUGUCCCAAAGCCCAGGCGCAAGUGGGACAAGUAGGCCGUAUAGACAGCGCUGGGCCCCGCGCGCGUCCCCUCGGACCUCACCUGAGUACGUGUGGAAGGUGUCCUACUGCUAGAAGCUGCGACUCUGCCCGAGGGCUUGCUCUCGGUCCAAGCAUGCUGCCAGACAGCUGUGGCCAAAUUAAUCCCCCAGGAGCGGACAUCCGCUAAUGUUGCAUGGGGAUUGCAAGUGUUUCUUCAGCAGUCUGUGGGAGAAGGCAGAAUCAGGCAGGCCCCCUGCUUGAUGCCUAGGAGCGAAUGCAGAGAGUCACCCCGGCACCGUAUCUAUGCGCACCUCCUGUGAGAGGAUGUUAAUACUAGGAGCAGAUGGAAAGUGAAUAAAUAGCUUUUCCUCCAUUGACUUCUCAUGUGGCUCCUCCCAGAGCUGUCUGUUAUCCACUUACAUGCCCUAGUGUGCAUCAGAUUGUUGUGAACACUGUCACGUCCAAGUUGCAUCACACCUGGGGCUGCUCACCCUCAGGUGCAGCUGCGAGCCUGUCGCUGACUCUGUCACUGGGGCUUGGAGAAGUGGACGGGGCACUGGAGCUCCUCCCACUCUCCAGAUGGCUCCACCCACCCUGGAGGCCGCCCCAGGCUCCUCCACCUUUAACAGCAGCUUCUGUGCCCUCAGGGGAAUCCUUUCAGCAAGAACAACCACUGCUGGUCUUCUACGUCAGAAAGCUAACCAUGGCUGUCCCAGUGUUUCCGCCAGAAUUCCUGGGCCUGGGACAGUCAGACAAUCCACCGCUGCAUGAACAGGUGGACAUAUACUCCAUUUGCAAGACCCGUGUCACUGCACCUGCUGUCAAUAGUAGUAACCAGGCCAUACCUCUAGAGCACUUCCUUCUUGCACACCCUCCCUUCCAAUUUUCUCAGACAAGCCCUGUCAGAUGAAGGACAGCUUGAUGUGUGGAGACCUUACUGGAGAGCUCACGAUAGCUAGAGGUGGCGGCUGGGCUGUUCUACCCAUGGGGCUACGCAUCCUCAAGAUUCUCAAGGCGGUGAACUUUCAGCUGGACUCCACUCCCUGUUAACAGGCAGCCCAGUGGUCAUUUUCUUCUCUGCUCCGCCUCUCCUCUCCUCGCUCUCAGGGCGAGCCAGAAUGGAGGAGGAGGAAGGCAGACUUUCUAACACCUGCAAGGAUACGGACUGUGGUGGACCGGAGAAUGGCGGGGAGAGGAGACGCUCCGAGGGCCCCACUAUUCUGCACACAUCCCCAUAU